UGCCAGCAGCCGCGGUAAGACGAGAGGCCCAAGCGUUACUCGGAAUCACUGGGCUUAAAGGGUGCGCAGGCGGUUCAGCAAGUCGGCUGUGAAAGUUCGAGGCUCAACCUCGAAAUUGCAGUCGAUACUGCUGUGACUUGAAUUCGGUAGAGGAGAAUGGAAUUCCCGGUGUAGCGGUGAAAUCCGUAGAUAUUCGGAGGAACACCAGUGGCGAAGGCGGCUUUCUGGACCGAUACUGACGCUGAGACGCGAAAGCGUGGGGAGCAAACAGGAUUAGAUA
RNAcentral lists this ribosomal RNA (280 nucleotides) under uncultured bacterium. RNAcentral describes it as "partial 16S ribosomal RNA". It matches the Rfam family "Bacterial small subunit ribosomal RNA", at positions 506 to 784 of the family's 1533-position model. The record is from RNAcentral.